This 460-nucleotide ribosomal RNA is filed under the name uncultured bacterium. RNAcentral's name for it is "partial 16S ribosomal RNA". It matches the Rfam family "Bacterial small subunit ribosomal RNA", at positions 338 to 795 of the family's 1533-position model. The record is from RNAcentral.
CCUACGGGAGACAGCAGUGAGGAAUAUUGCUCAAUGGGCGAGAGCCUGAUCCAGCCAAGUCGCGUGAGGGAUGAAGGAACUAUGGUUUGUAAACUUCAUUUAUAUGGGAAUAAAGUGAGGAACGUGUUCCUUUUUGUAUGUACCAUAUGAAUAAGCAUCGGCUAACUCCGUGCCAGCAGCCGCGGUACUACGGAGGAUGUGAGCGUUAUCCGGAUUUAGUGGGUUUAAAUGGUGCGUAGGUGGUUAGUUAAGUCAGCGGUGAAAGGUUGUGGCUCAACCAUAACAUUGCCGGUGAAACUGGUUGACUUGAGUAUAUGUGAGGUAAGCGGAAUGCGUGGUGUAGCGGGGAAAUGCAUAGAUAUCACGCAGAACUCCGAUUGCGAAGGCAGCUUACUAAACUAUAACUGACACUGAGGCACGAAAGCGUGGGGAUCAAACAGGAUUAGAGACCCUUGUAGUC